CCCGCUGAACUUAAGCAUAUCAAUAAGCGGAGGAAAAGAAACUAACAAGGAUUCCCCUAGUAACUGCGAGUGAAGCGGGAAAAGCUCAAAUUUGAAAUCUGGCAGUUUCCGACUGUCCGAGUUGUAAUCUAGAGAAGUGUUACCUGUGCUGGACCGUGUACAAGUCUCCUGGAAUGGAGCAUCAUAGAGGGUGAGAAUCCCGUCUUUGACACGGACUACCAAUGCUUUGUGAUGCGCUCUCAAAGAGUCGAGUUGUUUGGGAAUGCAGCUCAAAAUGGGUGGUAAAUUCCAUCUAAAGCUAAAUAUAGGCGAGAGACCGAUAGCGAACAAGUACCGUGAGGGAAAGAUGAAAAGCACUUUGGAAAGAGAGUUAAACAGUACGUGAAAUUGCUGAAAGGGAAACGCUUGAAGUCAGUCACGUCUGCCAGGACUCAGCCUCGCUUCUGCUUGGUGUAUUUUCUGGUUUGAUGGGCCAACAUCGAUUUUGACCGUCGGAGAAAGGCGUUGGGAAUGUGGCACCUUCGGGUGUGUUAUAGCCCCUCGUUGUAUACGACGGUUGGGAUCGAGGACCGCAGCACGCCUUCAUGGCCGGGGUUCGCCCACGUACGUGCUUAGGAUGUUGGCAUAAUGGCUUUAAGCGACCCGUCUUGAAACACGG
RNAcentral lists this ribosomal RNA (658 nucleotides) under uncultured fungus. RNAcentral's name for it is "eukaryotic LSU rRNA". It matches the Rfam family "Eukaryotic large subunit ribosomal RNA", at positions 24 to 664 of the family's 3401-position model. Lineage: Eukaryota; Fungi. The record is from RNAcentral.